Mus spicilegus (steppe mouse) is the source of this 1900-nucleotide long non-coding RNA. NCBI's taxonomy places the organism in Eukaryota, Metazoa, Chordata, Mammalia, Rodentia, Muridae. The record is from Ensembl.
CGCAGGAUCAGCGAGUUUGCUUAAGUAGGGACAAUUCCCCCAUAGCUUUAAGGCUGAGCUUCGCUCUCCACUCAGCCCUUCUUAUUCCCAGCAAGAUAACCAGUCUAAAAAAAGGAGAAAAAAAAAUGCCACCCUUGGCAUCUUCUUUGUCCCUUUUCUAUCUGCUCUCGUUUCCAUGGAAACCCAAAACCAUUUGCCUCCCUCUCUCAGCUAUGCCUUCUCUCCUACCCCAGGCCUGCCUGGUUGUUUUCCCCAGGCUCCCAGAAAGCCAUGUUUAGGAUUCCUCCCCUUGUCUUCAGACUUCCCAGCUGCCUCCAACAUUCUUUUGUCUCUUGUUCCAAAAAGGCAAAAAUGGCCUUUUCCAGCAGCUGCUCCCUCGAAGUCUCCAUAGCAGCCCUACUGUGUGUGGGAUUUGUCAGUGGGCCACCAUAAUGCAUGAAGAGGCCUCAAACCAAGGCCAGAGUAGGGAGGACACUGCCGGGGCUCUGCAAGAGGCAGCAAAGCCCACUUCAGCAUCCCUAUCGUGGUGACGUUGGGACAUCACCUGACCAGGUGAAGCCCCUGGGGUCCAGAGGUCAGAAGGAACUGUCCAACGUCAAACCAAACCAAACCCUUCAGGAGAAGAAAGAUCUGGUGGCCUAUUCUGCAUGCUGCUUCAGGCUGCCACUGUCCUGCUGGACUGUGACAUCCUUGAAGUGGGAGCUGGACUCAACUCACCUUGCUCCUCUUACUCACCUGAAUCCAGUGCAGGGUGAGGCACAGGGAGGCACCCUCCUCUCCAUUCUGAUUUCUCUGCGGAGCCAGGUCUUCCCAGCUGCAUUCCUGUGGGUCAAAGCCAAGGAACAGCUCUCCUCUUACACUAGCAAAUCCUAUUAUGGAGUCUUUUUCUCAGCUAUAUAAUUUGUCUCCUUGAUAAGACAGAAUUAUGAACUCACAUUCUGUGAACUCAUAACAAGGCCUGCCACUGACAUUUGUAAGGCAUCUGUCUUAGUCAAGGUUUCUAUUUCUGCACAAACAUCAUGACCAAGAAGCAAGUUAGGGUGGAAAGGGUUUAGUCAGCUUACAUUUCCACAUUGCUGUUCAUCACCAAAGGAAGUCAGGACUGGAACUCAAGCAGGUCAGGAAGCAGGAGAUGAUACAGAGGCCAUGGAGGGAUGUUCCUUACUGGCUUGCUUACCCUGGCUUGCUCACUUUGCUCUCUUAUAGAACCCAAGACUACCAGUCCAGGGAUGGUACCACCCACAAGGGGCCCUACCCCCUUGAUCACUAAUUGAGAAAAUGCCCCACAGCUGGAUCUCAUGGAGGCAUUUCCUCACCUGAAGCUCCUUUCUCUGUGAUAACUCCAGCUGUGUCAAGUUGACACACAAAACCAGGCAGUACAGCAUCUAUGUGAAACAUGGUCUCAAGAAAGAGAGAAUCAGGGACAGAAUUAGAAGGAAAGAGACCUUAAGAAGAGGAAAGAAAUGACAUUCCCUGAGUUACUACAAUUGCCCAGUGCUCCGUAAGGCAAGGGGACCCCUUUGAGCACAGGGUCCCCAAGGCUCAGGCUGCAUUUCAUUCAAUCUAAAAGAGGGAAGAAAACAUUGUGAUUCACAGUGGACUGGGACUCAGCUCCUCCAUCUUCAAACCCAAAGCACAGGACCGGCAUCGGUUGUAUUAAUUCCCCACUCCCGCCCCAGUCCAUGCUCUGGGCAAAACCUUUGCGUCCACACAUUAAUCACUGGCUGUCACUGGCCCCGGGUUGGGGGAACACGCUGCUAAGUAAAACCUCAAUGGGAAGGGUAGGAUCUGCAGAGCUACCAUGAGUCACAGAGCAGCCCUCCAGCCUCUGCAAGGCGAGAUUUGGUUGAAAAGUUUGCAGGCAUGGCAAACUGAACGUGGGUGGGGGUGCCGAGAUAAG